CUCUUCCCUCGUUUGAGUGCUGUGCGGUAACGUUCUUUUGUCGUCGUGCUGUGCACAUCGAUUUUCGCAAGUUUUCUACCUUCGACUUUUGUUGUCUCCGCUAUGAGAGAUGUCGUAGUAUACGUUCUUAAAACAGAUUGUCGUUGCCGUCAUAUGGGCAGCGUCAAGACUGCAGCCAGGAUCAUGACGCUAGCAAGUUACGGAGUCACUGUUAGGAGCAAGUGAACUCUGAGUCAUCAUCGCCGGGCGAAUCCCGUUUCCUGGACGAAGGUUGCGAGUACUUUUCGGUAAAAGCGCCUCUACUCGCUAAAGCACUCUCCUGGCCAACCAUCAGCCCGAAGGACAACGUUCUCUCCAAUGAUUUGCUGAAAACGAAAGUGUUAUGUGGUGAAGUUCUGUUCCACGCUAAGACUGGGAGGUGACCCGGGUUCGAAUCCGGGCGCCGGCUGUGCUAUCUGGGUUUUUCUAAGACGCUUCAAGAUAAAAUGUCGGCACAGUUCCACGUGAAGUCGGUCCAAGACGCACGGUCCCCCGGCUGAGAAUGGUCGACUAUACGGCAAACAGUUUCAUUACCACCACCGUCUGCUCUAGGAAUACUGACAUUGCGGAAGUUUCCUCAGGUUAACUGACUCAUCGUGCAAGUUUUGAAGGCACUUUUGGGCAACCUUGAACUGAUGAUGAGAUAAACUAAUCGUGUCAGCAGUUCCCCUCGCAGAUUGGGGAUCAGUAACCUCACCGUCGAGGCAAGGAAGUCCCUUCUCAAGAGAGUCAUCAGUCUGUGCACAACAUCGGGUCGACAGAUAACCGAUCGACGACCGUAGUAAAAGCAACAGGAAAGAAAGACCCGGGGAAGUUGUUCUCCCCAAAGGCUUGCCAUCGAACGAGCAACGCUUCACCGCGGGGGAAUUCUGCUAAUCGUGCUCGAACCCCUUUACCGCCAAGCCCGUGGCUGCGUUAAAGUUGGUCGCCUACGUUGGACGGAGAAAAUCGAGUCUGCUCGACAGACGCGAUUAUCGUCAUUAAGUGUUUUCCUUUCCUCCUGGGGGAGUAA
Molecule: long non-coding RNA, 1051 nt
Organism: Ornithodoros turicata
Lineage: Eukaryota; Metazoa; Arthropoda; Arachnida; Ixodida; Argasidae
Exons: 3
Source: RefSeq, a predicted model, not a curated record